This 483-nucleotide ribosomal RNA is filed under the name uncultured bacterium. RNAcentral describes it as "partial 16S ribosomal RNA". It matches the Rfam family "Bacterial small subunit ribosomal RNA", at positions 29 to 507 of the family's 1533-position model. The record is from RNAcentral.
UUGAACGCUGGCGGCAUGCUUUACACAUGCAAGUCGAACGGCAGCGCGGGCUUCGGCCUGGCGGCGAGUGGCGAACGGGUGAGUAAUACAUCGGAACGUGCCCAGUAGUGGGGGAUAGCUCGGCGAAAGCCGGAUUAAUACCGCAUACGACCUGAGGGUGAAAGCGGGGGAUCUUCGGACCUCGCGCUAUUGGAGCGGCCGAUGGCAGAUUAGCUAGUUGGUGGGGUAAAGGCCUACCAAGGCGACGAUCUGUAGCUGGUCUGAGAGGACGACCAGCCACACUGGGACUGAGACACGGCCCAGACUCCUAAGGGAGGCAGCAGUGGGGAAUUUUGGACAAUGGGCGAAAGCCUGAUCCAGCAAUGCCGCGUGUGUGAUGAAGGCCUUCGGGUUGUAAAGCACUUUUGGCGGGAACGAAAAGGACUGUGCCAAUACCACGGUUCGAUGACGGUACCCGCAGAAUAAGCACCGGCUAACUACGUG